Pipra filicauda (Wire-tailed manakin) is the source of this 3461-nucleotide long non-coding RNA. RefSeq lists it as uncharacterized. The record is from RefSeq and is a predicted model, not a curated record. Lineage: Eukaryota; Metazoa; Chordata; Aves; Passeriformes; Pipridae. The transcript has 2 exons.
CACGACCGGCCGCGGCCCUUCCCUCUCUCCCUCCCUCCGCCCGCCCCUCGGCGAUGCCGCAGCGCCCGCUCGGUGCCUCCGCCAGCGCCCGCCGCCGCCUCGGGCCGCUCACUUCGGCGCCGCCAUUUUGUCGGUGUCCCCGCCGCGGAGCCGCCCGGAUAUGGGCAGAUCCCGGCCUGCCUCGCGCGGCUCCUGCCGCUCCCGGAUGGAGCUGCGGCGGCUCCCGCCCGCCCCGGCGGGGAGCGGCAGCGCCUGUAACCCCUGCGAGCCCGCUCGGCGCAGCCACACACGGUACACACACAACACGCACCCCCCGCCGCUGCCGGGCGUCAGGCAAUGCUUGUUGCUCCCGUGGCAGUGCCGAGGUCGAUGGACAAAUCCCGAUCUCUUCAGGGGGGUGAAAAAGCUCUGACGAGCCUCCCGAUCCGGCUACUGCCCGAACGAUGGCCUCGUUACGGACCGACAGGAAUGAACACCCACCGAUUAUCGCUCAGAGUCGCAUCUCGACCGUUUCUUUCCAUUUCAUCCAUUUAAUUUCCAUCUUUUGCAUUUCAAACAAACCGAGAAGCAAAAUUUAAGCUGCUCUAACGAGCCCCUUGGCAUGUUCGUACGUUGCCCGAUGAAGGAAGGACAGCCCUGUCACCCAGCUCCUGCAGCCAGACACAAGGAAAUCGGAUCAGGAGUGUUGACAAGUGAGGCACAGGUAUCCAUUGCAGCUUCAAUUCCUGUAGCAUCUGAUCACCACAGGCUGAAGCCACAUGACAUCUACUGGAAACCAGAGGUAUGGCAAUAACAUGAAGCUACAAUCCGAUGAGCAUUAGAUUCUGUGCCCUACGGUACACAGACAUCUACAUGGCAUCUGACAGAUUUACAGGAGUGAGGGUGCCUUGCAUACACGUAAUACUCUACGGAUACCUACCAUAAGAUUACUGUGAAAUGCAUGUUAUAAUUACAGUUUCAACAUAUGCUAACAGUUACCAAGAGACACUGGGCACUGACAAAAUCACUUACCUAAACCACAGCCUAUUAACAGCAAUGGGAAUUAUUACACAGACAACAACAGGAUUUAAAUCUAGCUCAGUUUGUUUUCUCACAGUAUCUUAUAAGGCACAAAGUUACCAUUCAAAUACAUUCCAAAUGCCAGAAACCUUAUAUUAGGCCUGUGGAGAAAAGCAGAUGUAAAGUGUAUAUAUAUAUAAAUAGGGAAAGAGUUUUUGGUUGAGAGUUGGAAUUUGUUUUCUUAAAAAAGAGCAAGUGUACAGGUGCAAUAGUCCUUCAAGAAUUAAACCAUAAAACAGACCACCUAAACACAAUGCUUAGUCACAACAGUGGUUCGGCCAUUAAGCAGUCUGCUUUUGAUUAUUUAAAUACCAAAGAAGUUAAAAUCCUUUUAAAAAAUCAGUGAUAUAUCAUCCCAUUGUUAGGAUGCUAUCAGGAAAGAUUUACAUCAGAUUAUAUAAAGUAGACAUGCUUCUCAGUAAAUAUGUAAAAAAGUGGAGGUCUUACAAAGAAAAUAUUUGAGAUGGCUCAUUUCUUUGCUGUCUGAGGUCCCAUAUUUUUAACUGUCCAAUUGAAUUUACUGUCAAGAUCUCAGUUGUGCGAAGGAAGGUCACUGCAUGGAGCGUACUGCUGUCUGCAUUGUCUGCAAGAGAUGAGAAAAGCAUUCAGGUAAACCUAUGGAAUGCUAAUCUCCCCUUAAUUACAACAAAAUACCUCUGUAUAGAAAACAGAAACACACUUACCACCUCUGCAUUUUCAGCAUGAGAGACAGAUCGGUAUCUGCAAAUACCCUGUGAAAAAGGAGCCCUUGCUUCCUAUAUCAAACACUACUGAGACAAAUCUGUAAGAAGCUGUGUUGAUUAAGUUUGGUGCUUAGAGAACUCCUUGUUGAUCCGUAAGAUUUCUUUUUGCAGUUCCUUCAAGAGGAAUCAACUCAGCCAAGUUUAUGGUUUUCAACAGUUUUCUUUAUAUGCCUAGCACCUACUGACAGGAGGCAACUAUGGAGCUUUUUAUAAUGGAGUUCUUCUGAACACAAGGAACAGUACUCUGACUGGGAACAUUAAGCAGUUGUAUACAGAAACACUUAAUUUACCAACUUUUAGACCUUUUCCAAGAACUGUCAAUGUGAUAUCAAGUUAAAUCAGAGUUUGUUAAAUCAGUGCUUGUUAAUAACUAAAUGGCAAAGUUCUUUUUUUUCCAGGUCCUUUUCUCCAGAGCUUCUUUUGGUCAGAGUAAUUUAAAAUGUUAAACAAUUCACAGCAUUGAGGUGAAACUUUUGAGGCCUUAGGAGAAAAUGUAGACACCAUUUUCUUUAAUUCUGUUACUAUAUAGAAACUUCUCAUCUUGAUUAUGAUAGGGUAACAUUUUUAAGUCUACUUUCACCUCAAAUAUUUUGAAAUUCUUUGUGUAAGCCCAUACAAAAAGACAACAUAAGUGAAUUAUUAUCUUUCUGAAUAAGAUAGUUGCCUCAUUACAGAUACUUGAGUGACUUUUCUGCUUUCUAUUUAAAUGAAAACUGAGGGGAAGAAAAAAAACCUCACCAAAACACUUUUAAAAACAAAUGUUAGAUUACUGAACAGUGAAGUUCUAAAGGAUUUAAAAUUUUAUGACAGAGUAAUACUAAGUGAUUUAGCAAUGAUACAUUUUUAUAGCUCCAAAAGAUUUUUACAGAAUCUCUAACUUUGGAGAUUUUUUCCUACCAUAAUUGACUACAAACGUAUCAGCUUUCUAUUAUACUCUUAACGCCAUUAAACAAUAACAAAAAUACCAAGGUAUUCCUUUCCAUAUAUUGAAUGAGGUACAAGAGUUCUAUCAGCUCAGCGCCUGUGAAAUGUCAAGGUGUCAUGGAAUCGGGAACCAGUAUGAAAGAUUGCUUACACCAUAGAACUCCAUCCUGAAGAACCUGAGAGCAUCUUCCAAGAUGUUCUCUCUCCCCUCUCCAACUUUUACUGUAAAACCAUCCAUAGUACAUAAAUUUGUGCAUGUGCUUUCCACCUAACUCCACAUAAGCUUCAUUUACGGGGUCAUCGGUAUGACAGACGUACUUAUGUACCAUUCCUAAUUUACCCUACCCAUUUUCCAAAGGACAUUUCUCAGUUAACUCACAUCUGAUUUCUUAAAUGCUUACGUGCCAGCAAAUCUAAAUGCAGUCUUCCCUGCAGCAUAACACUAUGCUAUCAUAGUGUUAUGCUAACAGAUAAAGCUAUCACUACAAAGCAAACGUUUUCAAGUAGCACUAUGAAGUGAGCACCAAUAAAACUAGCAACUUGCAUCCAGCACAUUAUUAAAUCUGUAUGUAAGCAUCCAAGAAAUUACCCAGAGAAAAAUAAUUUUGGGGGUUUUGACAUUUGCUGCAUGAGAAUUCACAAAACACUCUACUCUAUUAAACUUGUACCAGAACACUCUGUGUUGGUAUCUGUGUAUAUGUAAAAAUUUUCCAAUAAAAUAAUGUUUUUAAAUUA